This 250-nucleotide ribosomal RNA is filed under the name uncultured bacterium. RNAcentral's name for it is "partial 16S ribosomal RNA". It matches the Rfam family "Archaeal small subunit ribosomal RNA", at positions 474 to 724 of the family's 1478-position model. The record is from RNAcentral.
UACCAGCUCUUCGAGUGGUGUGGAUGUUUAUUGGGCCUAAAGCAUCCGUAGCUGGCUAGGUCAGUCCCUUGUUAAAUCCACCGAAUUAAUCGUUGGAUCGCGGGGGAUACUGCUUGGCUAGGGGACGAGAGAGGCAGACGGUAUUUUCGGGGUAGGGGUGAAAUCCUAUAAUCCCGGGAAGACCACCAGUGGCGAAGGCUGUCUGCUAGAACGCGCCCGACGGUGAGGGAUGAAAGCUGGGGGAGCGAAC